GACGAACGCUGGCGGCGUGCCUAAUACAUGCAAGUCGAGCGAAGUUUUUCUGGUGCUUGCACUAGAAAAACUUAGCGGCGAACGGGUGAGUAACACGUAAAGAACCUGCCUCAUAGACUGGGACAACUAUUGGAAACGAUAGCUAAUACCGGAUAACAGCAUUAACUGCAUGGUUGAUGUUUAAAAGUUGGUUUUGCUAACACUAUGAGAUGGCUUUGCGGUGCAUUAGCUAGUUGGUGGGGUAAAGGCCUACCAAGGCGACGAUGCAUAGCCGACCUGAGAGGGUGAUCGGCCACACUGGGACUGAGACACGGCCCAGACUCCUACGGGAGGCAGCAGUAGGGAAUCUUCCGCAAUGGGCGAAAGCCUGACGGAGCAACGCCGCGUGAGUGAAGAAGGAUUUCGGUUCGUAAAGCUCUGUUGUUAGGGAAGAAUGAUUGUGUAGUAACUAUACACAGUAGAGACGGUACCUAACCAGAAAGCCACGGCUAACUACGUGCCAGCAGCCGCGGUAAUACGUAGGUGGCAAGCGUUGUCCGGAAUUAUUGGGCGUAAAGCGCGCGCAGGUGGUUUAAUAAGUCUGAUGUGAAAGCCCACGGCUCAACCGUGGAGGGUCAUUGGAAACUGUUAAACUUGAGUGCAGGAGAGAAAAGUGGAAUUCCUAGUGUAGCGGUGAAAUGCGUAGAGAUUAGNAGGAACACCAGUGGGCGAAGGCGGCUUUUUGGCCUGUAACUGACACUGAGGCGCGAAAGCGUGGGGAGCAAACAGG
Molecule: ribosomal RNA, 769 nt
Filed under: uncultured bacterium
Lineage: Bacteria
Description: bacterial SSU rRNA
Rfam family: Bacterial small subunit ribosomal RNA
Source: RNAcentral